Molecule: ribosomal RNA, 254 nt
Filed under: uncultured bacterium
Lineage: Bacteria
Description: partial 16S ribosomal RNA
Rfam family: Bacterial small subunit ribosomal RNA
Source: RNAcentral
UACGGAGGGGGCAAGCGUUGUUCGGAAUUACUGGGCGUAAAGGGCGCGCAGGCGGCUGCUCAAGUCAGGCGUGAAAGGCCUGGGCUCAACCCGGGAAUUGCGCUUGAGACUGGGCUGGCUUGAGUGCGGGAGAGGAUGGUGGAAUUCCCAGUGUAGAGGUGAAAUGCGUAGAUAUCUGGAGGAACACCGGUGGCGAAGGCGGCGUUCUGGACUGUAACUGACACUGAUGAACGAAAGCCAGGGGAGCAAACGGG